UCUCGGGGUGUGCGAGAACACGUGGGCGGACGAGGAGAGAGCAGUAGGAGUAGCAGUGUUAUCUGUGGUGAUCCAUGUUUCCGUCAGUGCCAAGAAGUCAAGGGACUGGAGGGAGGCAUAGGCUGAGAUGAACUCUGCCUUGUUGGCCGCAGAUCGGCAGUUCCAGAGGCUACCGGAGACCUGGAACUCCACCUGGGUCGUACGCGCUGGGACCACCAGAUUAGGGUGGUCGCGGCCACGCGGUGUGGAGCGUUUGUAUGGUCUGUGCAGAGAGGAGAGAACAGGGAUAGACAGACACAUAGUUGACAGGCUACAGAAAAGGCUACGCUAAUGCAAGGAGAUUGGAAUGACAAGUGGACUACACGUCUCGAAUGUUCAGAAAGUUAAGCUUACGUAGCAAGAGUCUUAUUGACUAAAAUGAUUAAAAUGAUACAGUACUGCUAAAGUAGGCUCGCUGGCAGUGGCUGCGUUGUUGACACUACACUAAUCUGCAGACCUUAGAGAGCUUUUUUUGCUCACAAGUCACAAUGUGGAGCCUCCGUAUGCAGAGUACCUCCAAGUGGUGAACUAUGGGAUUGGAGGACACUAUGAACCUCAUUUUGACCAUGCAACUGUGAGUGUUUACUAGACACUUAUUACUAAAGUAAUAAACACUUAAACACUUCAUGCAAUAUUGAACCCUCAUUUUGUGUGUUAGUGUUGAGUGAUGGUCUGUGUCCCAAACAUCACCCUAUUUCCUAGUACAAGGGUUCCUAAACUUUUACACUCUUCCAGCAUUUUAUUUUAUUUAACUAGGCAGGUCAGUUAAGAACCAAAUUCUUAUUUACAAUGAUGGCCUAGGAACGGUGGGUUAACUGCCUUGUUCAGUGGCAGAACGACAGACUUGUACCUUGCCAGCUUGGGGAUUCGAUCUAGCAACCUUUUGGUUACUGACCCAACGCUCUAACCACGAGGCUACCUGUCACACCCCCUGCAUUUGAGAACGUCCCCCCCCCGUGCAUGCCACGUCUAUUUCUAUGGGCACAAGCCCUGUUCAUUGCGCAAACUGCUCACACCCCUCUUGCUGGCGGAGAGAACAUUUUGCAGGUUUUAAGCUUAUUUCCUGUAAUUAUACACAUCUUGUCUUGGCUGGAGAGAAAAUGUUGCCGUUUUAAAGGACAUUUUCUGGCAAUUCUGUAGAUUUUGCCAUGUCUAAUGUGUAUUCGUUUGAUAUUUGAGUGACUCGAACAUUAAUCCAAAAUCUAUGGACUAAAAAAUCUAGCUACAAAACGUUAGCUGACAUAGACUAGUUGAUCUGAACAUUUCUGACAGGAUAUAAAUAGCUCUCUAAGGUCUGCAAUAACUGACAUGACAAGAGGAAAACUACCCAAUUUUGAAAUUGCACCUUUUGCAUUCUAGUAUUACAACUUAUUUUGGGGAGGGGGACCCGUGCUCCCCGCCCCCCCUCUGCUGGACGCGCCCCACUGUUUGGGAACCACUGCCCUAGUACACUACUUUUGACCAGGGCUCAUAGUUCUCUGGUUGAAGGUAGUGCUCUGUAUAGGGGAAUAGGGUGCCAUUUGAGACAUAGCCAAGGUAAGGACAUGAUAUAUUUAUGUGUACUAUUUCCUUCAUGUAACCAGUCAGCAUCAAGCCCCCUUUUUAGGCUCAACACUGGGAAUCGAGUGGCAACCUUCAUGAUAUACGUAAGUGUUUUAUCUUGUUAUCCUGUUAUGUGCAUGCUUGUCUCAUUUGUGGAUAUACAGUAAAGGCAUCUUUGGUGAUACUGUACGCUAUAUUGCUUCAAUCAGAAUUAGAAUUCAGUAUUUUCUUAUUGAAAUUGCAAUGAGAUGUCAAACUUCAAGUUAAGGUGGUAUGAAAAAGAGAUUUGGUGGUCUGCUUGUGAGAUUUGGACAAACUCCACACUCCUUAUUCCGGCAUGGAUGGCUUUUUUUUGACAUGUGCACAGUGGCUAGACUAGACACAACUCAGUGAGAAUGUUGUCAUCCUCCACAGCUCAGCUCUGUGGACGCAGGUGGGUCCACAGCCUUCAUCCACGCUAACUUUAGCGUUCCUGUUGUGGAGGAACGGCCAAGGAGAUGGGGACACUCUGCAUGCUGGCUGCCCUGUGCUUGUUGGGGAUAAAUGGGUGGCUAACAAAUGGAUACAUGAGUACGGCCAGGAGUUCCAGAGACGCUGCAGCCCCAAUCCUGAGGAGUGAGAAGAGAGAAAGCAGCUGCUGGGACCGCUUGGAGUACAAGAACCAGCCUCCACAAUGGAGCCGUGCGCACCACGCAGGCAGAGAGGGAGGGAAUGAGAGAGGGAGCAAGAGAGGGCAUGCGAGAACGCUUGAGGCUGGGGGAGAGGAAGGCAGCCAAAGUGCAGCCUGCAUCUGUGAUUGGAGCUUCAGGCACAAGGGAACGAGGAGCACAGACACUGUUGGAGGGGGCUGGAAUGGCAGGGGGCUGACUUGGUUUUGGGAAGGAGGAGGUGGUGGGGGUGGAGGAGGGCAUUUGGCAAUCAGCCCCAAAAGCAGAGUGGCCUCUUGCUCCCACUCCCCAGUCAGUCCCUGCUGGAGCAGAGCUCUCUCUGAGAGAGGCCUCUACACUCACACACUGGGCUGGUUUUAGUUAACGCUGCUAGGCUGUUUGGCUCCGGUGUCAGUUUGUUUGAAAAACAUUUUUUUUUAAGUAUAAUGCAGCCUUUUGAAAACUCAUACACUGAAUCUGUCAGGAUACGCUUCACAUGGACUGAUCUCAUUAGCACAGCGCUAAUCUUAUCUUAUCUCUUAUCUUAUCUUUGUGGGCUAUACUCGGCCUUGUCUCAGGAUGGUAAGUUGGUGGUUGAAGAUAUCCCUCUAGUGGUGUGGGGGCUGUGCUUUGGCAAAGUGGGUGGGGUUAUAUCCUUCCUGUUUGGCCCUGUCCGGGGGUGUCCUCAGAUGGGGCCACAGUGUCUCCUGACCCCUCCUGUCUCAGCCUCCAGUAUUUAUGCUGCAGUAGUUUAUGUGUCGGGGGGCUAGGGUCAGUUUGUUAUAUCUGGAGUACUUCUCCUGUCCUAUUCGGUGUCCUGUGUGAAUCUAAGUGUGCGUUCUCUAAUUCUCUCCUUCUCUCUUUCUUUCUCUCUCUCGGAGGACCUGAGCCCUAGGACCAUGCCCCAGGACUACCUGACAUGAUGACUCCUUGCUGUCCCCAGUCCACCUGGCCAUGCUGCUGCUCCAGUUUCAACUGGCCUGGGCCCUAGGACCAUGUCCCAGGACUACCUGACAUGAGGACUCCUUGCUGUCCCCAGUCCACCUGGCCAUGCUCCUGCUCCAGUUUCAACUGUUCUGCCUUACUAUUAUUCAACCAUGCUGGUCAUUUAUGAACAUUUGAACAUCUUGGCCACGUUCUGUUAUAAUCUCCACCCGGCACAGCCAGAAGAGGACUGGCCACCCCACAUAUGCUCUCUCUAAUUCUCUCUUUCUUUCUCUCUCUCGGAGGACCUGAGCCCUAGGACCGUGCCCCAGGACUACCUGACAUGAUGGCUCCUUGCUGUCCCCAGUCCACCUGGCC
Long non-coding RNA from Oncorhynchus keta (chum salmon), 3530 nucleotides. RefSeq lists it as uncharacterized. The record is from RefSeq and is a predicted model, not a curated record. The transcript is spliced from 3 exons. NCBI's taxonomy places the organism in Eukaryota, Metazoa, Chordata, Actinopteri, Salmoniformes, Salmonidae.